This 847-nucleotide ribosomal RNA is filed under the name Serratia marcescens. Its description in RNAcentral is "partial 23S ribosomal RNA". It matches the Rfam family "Bacterial large subunit ribosomal RNA", at positions 380 to 1231 of the family's 2925-position model. The record is from RNAcentral. Lineage: Bacteria; Pseudomonadati; Pseudomonadota; Gammaproteobacteria; Enterobacterales; Yersiniaceae.
CUAAAAUGCACAGGUCGUGAGUUCGAUGAGUAGGGCGGGACACGUGACAUCCUGUCUGAAUAUGGGGGGACCAUCCUCCAAGGCUAAAUACUCCUGACUGACCGAUAGUGAACCAGUACCGUGAGGGAAAGGCGAAAAGAACCCCGGCGAGGGGAGUGAAAUAGAACCUGAAACCGUGUACGUACAAGCAGUGGGAGCACCUUCGUGGUGUGACUGCGUACCUUUUGUAUAAUGGGUCAGCGACUUAUAUUUUGUAGCAAGGUUAACCGUAUAGGGGAGCCGUAGGGAAACCGAGUCUUAACUGGGCGAAUAGUUGCAAGGUAUAGACCCGAAACCCGGUGAUCUAGCCAUGGGCAGGUUGAAGGUUGGGUAACACUAACUGGAGGACCGAACCGACUAAUGUUGAAAAAUUAGCGGAUGACUUGUGGCUGGGGGUGAAAGGCCAAUCAAACCGGGAGAUAGCUGGUUCUCCCCGAAAGCUAUUUAGGUAGCGCCUCGUGAACUCAUCUUCGGGGGUAGAGCACUGUUUCGGCUAGGGGGCCAUCCCGGCUUACCAAACCGAUGCAAACUCCGAAUACCGAAGAAUGUUAUCACGGGAGACACACGGCGGGUGCUAACGUCCGUCGUGAAGAGGGAAACAACCCAGACCGCCAGCUAAGGUCCCAAAGUCAUGGUUAAGUGGGAAACGAUGUGGGAAGGCAUAGACAGCCAGGAUGUUGGCUUAGAAGCAGCCAUCAUUUAAAGAAAGCGUAAUAGCUCACUGGUCGAGUCGGCCUGCGCGGAAGAUGUAACGGGGCUAAACCAUGCACCGAAGCUGCGGCAGCGACGUUUAGGCGUUGUUGGGUAG